GAUGAACGCUGGCGGCGUGCUUAACACAUGCAAGUCGAACGGACGAUGAAAAGCUUGCUUUUCAAAGUUAGUGGCGGACGGGUGAGUAACGCGUGGGUAACCUGCCUCAUACAGGGGGAUAGCAGCUGGAAACGGCUGAUAAAACCGCAUAAGCGCACAGCAUCGCAUGAUGCAGUGUGAAAAACUCCGGUGGUAUGAGAUGGACCCGCGUCUGAUUAGCUGGUUGGUGAGGUAACGGCCCACCAAGGCGACGAUCAGUAGCCGGCCUGAGAGGGUGACCGGCCACAUUGGGACUGAGACACGGCCCAAACUCCUACGGGAGGCAGCAGUGGGGAAUAUUGCACAAUGGGGGAAACCCUGAUGCAGCGACGCCGCGUGAAGGAAGAAGUAUCUCGGUAUGUAAACUUCUAUCAGCAGGGAAGAUAAUGACGGUACCUGACUAAGAAGCCC
RNAcentral lists this ribosomal RNA (450 nucleotides) under uncultured bacterium. RNAcentral describes it as "bacterial SSU rRNA". It matches the Rfam family "Bacterial small subunit ribosomal RNA", at positions 28 to 493 of the family's 1533-position model. The record is from RNAcentral.